CGGACGGGUGAGUAACACGUGGAUAACCUACCUAUAAGACUGGGAUAACUUCGGGAAACCGGAGCUAAUACCGGAUAAUAUAUUGAACCGCAUGGUUCAAUAGUGAAAGACGGUUUUGCUGUCACUUAUAGAUGGAUCCGCGCCGCAUUAGCUAGUUGGCAAGGUAACGGCUUACCAAGGCAACGAUGCGUAGCCGACCUGAGAGGGUGAUCGGCCACACUGGAACUGAGACACGGUCCAG
RNAcentral lists this ribosomal RNA (241 nucleotides) under uncultured Staphylococcus sp. Its description in RNAcentral is "partial 16S ribosomal RNA". It matches the Rfam family "Bacterial small subunit ribosomal RNA", at positions 99 to 334 of the family's 1533-position model. The record is from RNAcentral. Lineage: Bacteria; Bacillati; Bacillota; Bacilli; Caryophanales; Staphylococcaceae.